This 335-nucleotide long non-coding RNA is filed under the name Elaeis guineensis (African oil palm). Its description in RNAcentral is "long non-coding RNA (EGUI_LNC022640)". Lineage: Eukaryota; Viridiplantae; Streptophyta; Magnoliopsida; Arecales; Arecaceae. The record is from RNAcentral.
CUCCCCGUGCCAUAUGCAUUUACAUCCAUCAUAACUAGUUCAAUAAAAUAAAGCCUGCAGUUCUAUAGAUGAAUAUUACUUGAUGCACUGUCAAUAGAACUAUGAGAAUAUCUGGCAGUCCACAUGUUUAAUAAUGUAAAAGUGGUUCAAUAGUUCCAAAAUGAUCCUGCCUGUGGCAAGGUAAUUUGAGCCCCUUCUUUAUGGAUGCCUUGCCUAAAUGGCAUUAUUUUUGAAUUAAAAUAUUCAUAGCGCGUCUGGUCAAUUUCAGAUCAGAUUUGGAUCCAACCUCAUGAGAAAUUAUAUCCUACACCAUAUGCACCAUGUGGUGGUGCACC